Molecule: ribosomal RNA, 231 nt
Filed under: uncultured bacterium
Lineage: Bacteria
Description: partial 16S ribosomal RNA
Rfam family: Bacterial small subunit ribosomal RNA
Source: RNAcentral
CGGGUGAGUAACGCGUGGGUAACCUGCCUUAUACAGGGGGAUAACAGUCAGAAAUGGCUGCUAAUACCGCAUAAGCGCACAGAGCUGCAUGGCUCAGUGUGAAAAACUCCGGUGGUAUAAGAUGGACCCGCGUUGGAUUAGCUAGUUGGUGGGGUAACGGCCCACCAAGGCGACGAUCCAUAGCCGGCCUGAGAGGGUGAACGGCCACAUUGGGACCGAGACACGGCCCAG